GUCUAUGUAGAUUAUGUUUUAAAUCG
This 26-nucleotide transfer RNA is filed under the name Mesocestoides sp. JH-2015. RNAcentral's name for it is "partial tRNA-Asn". Lineage: Eukaryota; Metazoa; Platyhelminthes; Cestoda; Cyclophyllidea; Mesocestoididae. The record is from RNAcentral. RNAcentral also lists the same sequence under 2 other names.